ACGGGAGGCAGCAGUGGGGAAUAUUGGGCAAUGGGCGAAAGCCUGACCCAGCAACGCCGCGUGAAGGAAGAAGGCCUUCGGGUUGUAAACCUCUUUUACCAGGGACGAAGGACGUGACGGUACCUGGAGAAAAAGCAACGGCUAACUACGUGCCAGCAGCCGCGGUAAUACGUAGGUUGCAAGCGUUGUCCGGAUUUACUGGGUGUAAAGGGCGUGUAGGCGGAGAGGCAAGUCAGAUGUGAAAUCCCGGGGCUCAACCCCGGAACUGCAUUUGAAACUGUCUCCCUUGAGUAUCGGAGAGGCAAGCGGAAUUCCUAGUGUAGCGGUGAAAUGCGUAGAUAUUAGGAGGAACACCAGUGGCGAAGGCGACUUUCUGGACUGUACCUGACGCUGAGGCGCGAAAGCGUGGGGAGCGAACAGGAUUAGAUACCCUGGUA
Molecule: ribosomal RNA, 437 nt
Rfam family: Bacterial small subunit ribosomal RNA